CAAAAUAUUACAGUACAAUACCUUCAACUUUUCUUUCAUUUUUAAUUUUGUCCUACAAGUAUUAUCAAACUUGCACCACCUCUAUUAAUAGUAAAUCAUGUGAAUUAAUAGUUCAAUCAUGUGACUUAAUAGUUAUAAUCAUGUGAAAAUACGAAUUACAGUAUAAUACCUCCAUCUAUACCUCCAUUUUUAACUUAGUCAUGCAAGUAUUAUCAAUAUUGCACCACCUCCC
RNAcentral lists this long non-coding RNA (232 nucleotides) under Panax ginseng (ginseng). Its description in RNAcentral is "long non-coding RNA (PGIN_LNC002734)". The record is from RNAcentral. Lineage: Eukaryota; Viridiplantae; Streptophyta; Magnoliopsida; Apiales; Araliaceae.